GGUUGUUUGGCCGAGCGGUCUAAGGCGCCUGAUUCAAGUUCUCAGGUAUCGUAAGAUGCAAGAGUUCGAAUCUCUUAGCAACCA
This 84-nucleotide transfer RNA is filed under the name Nakaseomyces glabratus. Its description in RNAcentral is "[Candida] glabrata tRNA-Leu". It matches the Rfam family "tRNA". Rfam says of the family: Transfer RNA (tRNA) molecules are approximately 80 nucleotides in length. RNAcentral also lists the same sequence under 1 other name. Lineage: Eukaryota; Fungi; Ascomycota; Saccharomycetes; Saccharomycetales; Saccharomycetaceae. The record is from RNAcentral.